CAAAAAAAAUCAUAUACACUACCAACAUACAAGGAGGUAGUACUAGAAAAAAAAAAAAACAUUUUUAUGCCUCCUAUUCACCAUUUUGUCUGGAGAACUUCCAAGUUCAUAUAAGAACAAUUUAUUCAAUGAAACUAAGAAUAAAAGUGUAACAAAUUGCCCAGCUGACACCAAGUUAUUGACAUUUGCAGGUAGGAGACAGUGGUUUGGGAGGAGAUUGCUUUCACAAGAUAGACCAUAGCACAUCUGCAAAACAGCAUCCGGUGUAUGGUCUGUGUUGUUCCCAUGAUAGACAGCAUUUUGGAGGCCAAGGCAAGUGUACUGCUCAAGUUUUGGCCACAUUAUAGCAGUCACCAGGCUCUAUGCUAUCAGCUUAGGAUAGGUGGAAGCCAGGCCAAAUAUCAAUGGGAUGGACCCCAAAUCUCUCAAAUCCACACAAGAGACUUUACCAACUCAGCCGGUCGACAGCUUGGAAAAUAAUAACUAUUUAGGAAGCACUGUUGUUUCAUUAUUAAAAUCAGUUAAAGCAAUAACAAAUUAUUAAUGGUGGCUACAUUGUUCGAUGGCAAUGAUACUAGGGUGAGUGAUGGGGGUGGUAGUGGUAGUAGGUGGCAAUGGCAAGUAGUGGUGGAUGAUAGUGGGGGUGCGGUCAUGUUGGUGGUGGCAGCAUUGGGGGGAUGUGGUGGUGUUUGUGAUAGCUGCAAAGGGUGGACAUAGUGGUAUAUCAUGGUUGUGGUGGUGGUGGCAGCUGCAAUAGUGGAGAGGUAGUGGUGAUGACCUCAAGGGGUAGUGGACAUGGAGGUAUGAGUGGUGGUGGCAGUGGGUUAAAGUGAUUAGCAAUGGGUGCAUGGGUUGUAGCAUUGUAGGCGGUAAAGGCAGAGUCAGAGGUAGGAUU
Molecule: non-coding RNA, 895 nt
Organism: Elaeis guineensis (African oil palm)
Lineage: Eukaryota; Viridiplantae; Streptophyta; Magnoliopsida; Arecales; Arecaceae
Source: RefSeq, a predicted model, not a curated record